This 309-nucleotide ribosomal RNA is filed under the name uncultured bacterium. Its description in RNAcentral is "partial 16S ribosomal RNA". It matches the Rfam family "Bacterial small subunit ribosomal RNA", at positions 504 to 807 of the family's 1533-position model. The record is from RNAcentral.
AGAGACAGCAGCAGCCGCGGUAAUACGUAGGGUGCAAGCGUUAAUCGGAAUUACUGGGCGUAAAGCGUGCGCAGGCGGUUAUAUAAGACAGAUGUGAAAUCCCCGGGCUCAACCUGGGAACUGCAUUUGUGACUGUAUAGCUAGAGUACGGCAGAGGGGGAUGGAAUUCCGCGUGUAGCAGUGAAAUGCGUAGAUAUGCGGAGGAACACCGAUGGCGAAGGCAAUCCCCUGGGCCUGUACUGACGCUCAUGCACGAAAGCGUGGGGAGCAAACAGGAUUAGAUACCCCGGUAGUCCCUGUCUCUUAUAC